RNAcentral lists this ribosomal RNA (462 nucleotides) under uncultured bacterium. RNAcentral's name for it is "partial 16S ribosomal RNA". It matches the Rfam family "Bacterial small subunit ribosomal RNA", at positions 28 to 507 of the family's 1533-position model. The record is from RNAcentral.
GACGAACGCUGGCGGCGUGCUUAACACAUGCAAGUCGAACGGAAAGGCCCUUCGGGGUACUCGAGUGGCGAACGGGGGAGUAACACGUGGGUGAUCUGCCCUUCACUUUGGGAUAAGGCUGGUAGACUGGGUCUAAUACCGAAUAUGACCACGUGCUUCAUAGUGUUUGUUGGUAAGCUUUUGCGGGGUGGGAUGUGAGCGCGGGCUAUCAGCUUGUUGGUGUGGUAAUGGGCUACCAAGGCGACGUCGGGUAGCCGGCCUGAGAGGGUGACCGGCCACACUGCGACUGAGCUACGGCACAGACUCCUACGGGAGGCAGCAGUGGGGAAUAGUGCACAAUGGGCGCAAGCCUGAUGAAGCGACGCCGCGUGAGGGAUGACGGCCUUCGGGUUGUCAACCUCUUUCCAUCCCGACGAAGCGCAAGUGACGGUACCUAUAGAAGAAGCACCGGCCAACUCCGUG